Molecule: long non-coding RNA, 1889 nt
Organism: Entelurus aequoreus (snake pipefish)
Lineage: Eukaryota; Metazoa; Chordata; Actinopteri; Syngnathiformes; Syngnathidae
Exons: 3
Source: RefSeq, a predicted model, not a curated record
AGGGAGGCAUUUUUCGGAGGUCUCAAGAAGGUAACAAAUACAAUAAUGUGUGUGUGUGUGUGUGUGUGUGUGUGUGUGUGUGUGUGUGUGUGUGUGUGUGUGUGUGUGUGUGUGUGUGUGUGUGAGUACAGGGACAACCUUCCUCGACCUUUAUAACUGAAGCAAAGUGAUUUAUUUAUUGUUUUUUUUUUAGUGCUGAAGGACUUUUUGGAAGCUGUCUAACCUUCCAAAUGCUUGCUGGAGUCUUUCGAAGACGAACACAACAUUGUGACCGUCCAAGUGCCUUAGCUCCCUCAGCCUGGAGACCGAUUACUUGGGAGAGUGGACAUGCCAGCAACCUGAUGGUUCCUGGUUCAAUCCCCACCUUUCUACCAACUUCGUCACAUCCGUCGUGUCCUUGAGCAAGACACUUCACCCUUGCUCCUGAUGGGUCCUGGUUCGGGCCUUGCAUGGCAGCUCCCGCCAUCAGUGUGUGAAUGUGGAAGUAGUGUCAAACUGCUUUGAGUACCUUGAAGACCCUCUUCGCUCCCCGGAUUCAAGAUGUGUGUCUUGUCUCCCUUGGUUCCCUCUGGUCUUUUUGCUGCCUUCCUGUAUCUCAACCUCUCGCCUGGACACGGACUCUGACGCCUCGCUACUGCCCUUGACUUAACGCCUGCCCACGGACCUUCGAGCUUUGCCUUGCCCUUCCUGGACUUCCGCCUCUCACUCAACACGCACCUUCAACAACUCCCAGUAAUACUCAGACGUCACACCAUACACAUUUUGGACUAGUUACACGCCUCAUUUCAUAUUGUAUAUAUAAUAAAUAGAGCUAAACGACGUCCUUGCUUCUGUGCCGUCUUCUUCCCCCGCUGUCACGCCUAAUAAAGCGUUUAAAGAUAAAAAAUGCAAUCUGGGAUAUUGUAUGUGAUGAAUGGGGGGAAUCAUGCAAUGUGGAUAAAAGCUGUGAUGUAUACAAAAGUUGACAUUCGUAAUAAAGUAUUUACAGCUUGCAUUUGGCAUGAGGUGAAACAAAAUUGACAACACCAUUUUAUGAACAAUACAUUAUGUCAUAAGGAUUACUAGGAUGUGUUGGAGGAUUAAGGGGUCCAAGGUGGAACACGGCAAAUCAUGUGGAAUACAAGCUAAAAUCUGGAAUAAGGGGUGUCAUGUGAAACCAAUUAUGGAAGCAAUGCUGAAUAAAAAAUGACAAACGGAGGAUGCCCCAUCUUAAAACUAAUUUGUAUUCGCUAGCCUUUAAAUAGACCACCCUUUUAGACCAGUUGAUCUGCCGUCUCUUUUCUGCUCUGCCCCCCUCUCCUGUGUGGAGAGGUUAUUAGGUGACCACAGAUGAGGCGCUACCUGUCCAAAGUCAGGACCCGGGGUGGACCACUCAUCUGUGCAUCAGUUGGGGACGUCUCUACGCUGAUGACCUGUCUCCACUCAAGAUGAUCCCCUGCUGACCCCACUAUGGACUGGACUCUCACACUAUUAACUAGAUCCACUCGAGAUCCAUUGCACCGGUUGCCCGGGGGUGAGGGGGGGUCCCCACAUCUGCGGUCCCCUCCAAGGUUUCUCAUUGUAUCCCAUUGGGUUGAGUUUUUUUCUUGCCCUGAUGUGGGAUCUGAGCCGAGGAUGUCGUAGUGGCUUGUGCAGCCCUUUGAGACACUUGUGAUUACGGGCUAUAUAAAUAAACUUGGAUUGAUUGAUUGAUUGAUUGAUUGAAUGCAGACUAAAGGAUGUAAUAUUGACAAAAUUAUGCAAUGUCGAAUAAAGGAUGUAAAAUGGACAGAAGGAUGACAUCGAGUAAGGGAUGCAAAAUGGACAAAAGGACACUAAAGGACGUAAUAUUGACAUAAUGAUGUGUGUGACAAAAUGGUGUAAUAUGGAAUAAAGGAUGUAAUGUGAAA